Molecule: transfer RNA, 83 nt
Filed under: bacterium
Lineage: Bacteria
Description: tRNA-Tyr
Rfam family: tRNA
About the family: Transfer RNA (tRNA) molecules are approximately 80 nucleotides in length. Their secondary structure includes four short double-helical elements and three loops (D, anti-codon, and T loops). Further hydrogen bonds mediate the characteristic L-shaped molecular structure. tRNAs have two regions of fundamental functional importance: the anti-codon, which is responsible for specific mRNA codon recognition, and the 3' end, to which the tRNAs corresponding amino acid is attached (by aminoacyl-tRNA synthetases). tRNAs cope with the degeneracy of the genetic code in two manners: having more than one tRNA (with a specific anti-codon) for a particular amino acid; and 'wobble' base-pairing, i.e. permitting non-standard base-pairing at the 3rd anti-codon position.
Source: RNAcentral
GCACUGGUAAACCGUAGGGGUAGCGGGCCUGGCUGUAAACCAGGUGCCUUCGGGCUCGGGUGGUUCGACUCCAUCUCGGUGCA